Molecule: ribosomal RNA, 444 nt
Filed under: Triticum aestivum (bread wheat)
Lineage: Eukaryota; Viridiplantae; Streptophyta; Magnoliopsida; Poales; Poaceae
Description: partial small subunit ribosomal RNA
Source: RNAcentral
AUGGUCCAGGGGAGGCGACCGCGUCGGGUGCGCGAGGAGGCCGCGGCGAUCGUGUGCGUGCGCGAUGCGCGGGCGCGAGCCGGAGCGCGCGGGGCAUGGCGAGUGGGGGGGGAGCGAGUGCGUGUGGGCGAGGCCUGGCAUGUCAGUGCUCGCGGGUAUAAAUCCCCCUCACCUAUGUGUACCUUGUUGACACGUCGAGUUCGUGCUCGAGGGAAAGAAAAGGGCGUUCGUGCGCCGGAAAAAUUCAUGUGUCCACUGCCUCGUCUGAUCUUCUUCUUCCACCUCCUUCCGUCGUCUGAGCGCAGAGAGCGAGGGAGGUGGAGAGAGAGAGAGAGAGAGCUAGGAUUUAGCAGGAGCGGCAACGACAAUUGGCAUGAGAGCUUCAGGUUCGGGAGCUCGCCGGCGGCAAUGGCGAUCGUGCCACACGGCGGUGGCACGGGCUGA